Maylandia zebra (zebra mbuna) is the source of this 356-nucleotide non-coding RNA. Lineage: Eukaryota; Metazoa; Chordata; Actinopteri; Cichliformes; Cichlidae. The record is from RefSeq and is a predicted model, not a curated record.
CGUAAUCGUCCUUCAGCGAUCACUGCUCGGCGUGUUUUGAGUCACCAGCCUGUCCACCUGCCUGUCCAGAAUUUGGAUCACGAUCAACCCCAGCCGCCUCGCCCUUUCUGGAGCUUCUCCCCACGGACCCUCACCCCUCCCUCCGGUUCCCUUGGCCCCGCUAUCAUCCCUCCCACGGUCCCGCUCUCGGCGUUUCCUGCGCGAUUCUUCUCCCGGUCCCUCGGUUUCUCUGGUUCCGUGCGUUUUCUCCCUUCUACUCUCCCGGGACACUCUCAGUUAUAAUAAAGUUUAUUUUUUCUCUCGUACCGCUGUGUGUGUGUUCUGCUCCUGGGUCCAGCUUGUGUGUUGAACUUCGG